Molecule: ribosomal RNA, 447 nt
Filed under: uncultured bacterium
Lineage: Bacteria
Description: bacterial SSU rRNA
Rfam family: Bacterial small subunit ribosomal RNA
Source: RNAcentral
UUCCAGACUCCUACGGGAGGCAGCAGUGGGGAAUAUUGCACAAUGGGGGAAACCCUGAUGCAGCGACGCCGCGUGAGUGAAGAAGUAUUUCGGUAUGUAAAGCUCUAUCAGCAGGGAAGAUAAUGACGGUACCUGACUAAGAAGCCCCGGCUAACUACGUGCCAGCAGCCGCGGUAAUACGUAGGGGGCAAGCGUUAUCCGGAUUUACUGGGUGUAAAGGGUGCGUAGGUGGCAUGGCAAGUCAGAAGUGAAAGCCCGGGGCUCAACCCCGCGGACUGCUUUUGAAACUGUCAGGCUGGAGUACAGGAGAGGUAAGCGGAAUUCCUAGUGUAGCGGUGAAAUGCGUAGAUAUUAGGAGGAACACCAGUGGCGAAGGCGGCUUACUGGACUGUAACUGACACUGAGGCACGAAAGCGUGGGGAGCAAAUAGGAUUAGAUACCCUUGUA